This 395-nucleotide ribosomal RNA is filed under the name uncultured bacterium. RNAcentral's name for it is "partial 16S ribosomal RNA". It matches the Rfam family "Bacterial small subunit ribosomal RNA", at positions 523 to 918 of the family's 1533-position model. The record is from RNAcentral.
AUACGUAGGGGGCGAGCGUUGUCCGGAAUUAUUGGGCGUAAAGGGUUCGCAGGCGGUCUGAUAAGUCAGAUGUGAAAGGCAAUGGCUCAACCAUUGUAAGCAUUUGAAACUGUCAGACUUGAGUUAAGGAGAGGAAAGUGGAAUUCCUAGUGUAGCGGUGAAAUGCGUAGAUAUUAGGAGGAACACCAGUGGCGAAGGCGGCUUACUGGGCUUUAACUGACGCUGAGGCACGAAAGCGUGGGGAGCAAACGGGAUUAGAUACCCUGGUAGUCCACGCUGUAAACGAUGAUUGCUAGGUGUGGGGGGUCUGAUCCCCUCCGUGCCGGAGUUAACACAAUAAGCAUUCCGCCUGGGGAGUACGGCCGCAAGGUUGAAACUCAAAUGAAUUGGCGGGG